GCUCCUAUGAAGACUACCUAUCUUAUGUCCAAUUGCUGUCAGACCAUAUUAUGGUGACAUGAUACUUCUCUGAGGAGC
RNAcentral lists this small nucleolar RNA (78 nucleotides) under Chlamydomonas reinhardtii. RNAcentral describes it as "CrCD21b snoRNA". The record is from RNAcentral. Lineage: Eukaryota; Viridiplantae; Chlorophyta; Chlorophyceae; Chlamydomonadales; Chlamydomonadaceae.